AAACGACUCUCGGCAACGGAUAUCUCGGCUCACGCAUCGAUGAAGAACGUAGCAAAAUGCGAUACUUGGUGUGAAUUGCAGAAUCCCGUGAACCAUCGAGUUUUUGAACGCAAGUUGCGCCCAAAGCCAUCCGGUUGAGGGCACGUCUGCCUGGGCGUCACGCA
This 164-nucleotide ribosomal RNA is filed under the name Porophyllum linaria. RNAcentral describes it as "5.8S ribosomal RNA". It matches the Rfam family "5.8S ribosomal RNA". Rfam says of the family: 5.8S ribosomal RNA (5.8S rRNA) is a component of the large subunit of the eukaryotic ribosome. It is transcribed by RNA polymerase I as part of the 45S precursor that also contains 18S and 28S rRNA. The record is from RNAcentral. Lineage: Eukaryota; Viridiplantae; Streptophyta; Magnoliopsida; Asterales; Asteraceae.